Non-coding RNA from Glycine max (soybean), 115 nucleotides. Lineage: Eukaryota; Viridiplantae; Streptophyta; Magnoliopsida; Fabales; Fabaceae. The record is from Rfam.
ACCAAUGAUGUUACAAUCCAACUUGUGAGUCUGUAGUUUACCCAAGACCCUCUUUUGAGGGAGAACCUACUUGGUGCUGCUACAUUUUCUAUGACAGCAAAGAUUGUUCUGAGGU